This 211-nucleotide ribosomal RNA is filed under the name uncultured bacterium. RNAcentral describes it as "partial 16S ribosomal RNA". It matches the Rfam family "Bacterial small subunit ribosomal RNA", at positions 524 to 733 of the family's 1533-position model. The record is from RNAcentral.
UACGUAGGGUGCGAGCGUUGUCCGGAAUUAUUGGGCGUAAAGGGCUCGUAGGCGGUCUGUCACGUCGGGAGUGAAAACCCAGGGCUCAACCCUGGGCCUGCUUCCGAUACGGGCAGACUAGAGGUAUGCAGGGGAGAACGGAAUUCCUGGUGUAGCGGUGAAAUGCGCAGAUAUCAGGAGGAACACCGGUGGCGAAGGCGGGAUCUCCUGG